UCUUCCGCAAUGGACGAAAGUCUGACGGAGCAACGCUGCGUGAGUGAUGAAGGCUNUCNNGUCGUNANACUCUGUUGUUAGGGNNNNNCAAGUGCUAGUUGAAUAAGCUGGCACCUUGACGGUACCUAACCAGAAGGCCACGGCUAACUACGUGCCAGCAGCCGCGGUAAUACGUAGGUGGCAAGCGUUAUCCGGAAUUAUUGGGCGUAAAGCGCGCGCAGGUGGUUUCUUAAGUCUGAUGUGAAAGCCCACGGCUCAACCGUGGAGGGUCAUUGGAAACUGGGAGACUUGAGUGCAGAAGAGGAAAGUGGAAUUCCAUGUGUAGCGGCGAAAUGCGUAGAGAUAUGGAGGAACACCAGUGGCGAAGGCGACUUUCUGGUCUGUAACUGACACUGAGGCGCGAAAGCGUGGGGAGCAAACAGG
RNAcentral lists this ribosomal RNA (423 nucleotides) under uncultured bacterium. RNAcentral describes it as "partial 16S ribosomal RNA". It matches the Rfam family "Bacterial small subunit ribosomal RNA", at positions 362 to 776 of the family's 1533-position model. The record is from RNAcentral.